This 1021-nucleotide ribosomal RNA is filed under the name Polymyxa graminis. Its description in RNAcentral is "SSU rRNA". It matches the Rfam family "Eukaryotic small subunit ribosomal RNA", at positions 797 to 1823 of the family's 1831-position model. The record is from RNAcentral. Lineage: Eukaryota; Endomyxa; Phytomyxea; Plasmodiophorida; Plasmodiophoridae.
GAACAUGUUAGCAUGGAAUAAUAAGAUAGGGCUCCGGCUCAUAUUUUGUUGGUUUCUAGAGCGUGGGAGUAAUGAUUGAUAGGGACAGUUGGGGGUGCUAGUAUUCAGCGGCCAGAGGUGAAAUUCAUGGAUUCGCUGAAGACUGACUUAUGCGAAAGCAUUCACCAAGGAUGUCCUCUUUAAUCAAGAACGAAAGUUGGGGGAUCGAAGACGAUCAGAUACCGUCGUAGUCUCAACCAUAAACGAUGUCGACUAGGGAUUGGCGGUCGUUUUUCAUAUAAGACUCCGUCAGCACCUUCCGAGAAAUCAAAGUGUUUGGACUCUUGGGGAAGUAUGGUCGCAAGGCUGAAACUUAAAGGAAUUGACGGAAGGGCACCACCAGGAGUGGAGCCUGCGGCUUAAUUUGACUCAACACGGGGAAACUUACCAGGUCCAGAGAUGUAGAGGAUUGACAGAUUGAAGCUCUUUCUUGAUCACUUCGGUGGUGGUGCAUGGCCGUUCUUAGUUGGUGGAGUGAUUUGUCUGGUUAAUUCCGUUAACGAACGAGACCUCAGCCUGCUUUUGUAGUCGGCCNUAUCCCCUCGUGGGGUACGCGUUCCAACUUCUUAGAGGGACUAUCGAUGUGCAGUCGAUGGAAGUUUGAGGCAAUAACAGGUCUGUGAUGCCCUUAGAUGUUCUGGGCCGCACGCGCGCUACAAUGCUAGGUUCAACGAGUCGAUUUCGUACUUGGCCGAGAGGCCUGGUUAAUCUUCUGAAAUCCUAGCGUGCUUGGGCUUGCCUCUUGCAACUAGAGGCACCAACGAGGAAUUCCUAGUAGACGCAGGUCAUCAACCUGCAUCGAUUACGUCCCUGCCCUUUGUACACACCGCCCGUCGCUUCUACCGAUUGGGCGUCCCGGUGAACAAUCGGGAGGCCGCGCUCAUGGUCAGCAAUGGCCGGAGCGCGGUCGAACCUUUGUAAAUUUGGACGCCUAGAGGAAGAAGAAGUCGUAACAAGGUUUCCGUAGGUGAACCUGCGGAAG